Molecule: non-coding RNA, 29 nt
Filed under: Rattus norvegicus (Norway rat)
Lineage: Eukaryota; Metazoa; Chordata; Mammalia; Rodentia; Muridae
Source: RNAcentral
UGAAUUCAGCAUUGAGCUGAGGCCCGGGA